UUGAACGCUGGCGGAAUGCUUUACACAUGCAAGUCGAGCGGCAGCGCGGUGGCAACUCUGGCGGCGAGCGGCGAACGGGUGAGUAAUGUAUCGGAACGUACCCUGUCGUGGGGGAUAACACAGCGAAAGCUGUGCUAAUACCGCAUACGACCUGAGGGUGAAAGCGGGGGAUCGCAAGACCUCGCGCGAUAGGAGCGGCCGAUAUCGGAUUAGCUUGUUGGUGAGGUAAAGGCUCACCAAGGCGACGAUCCGUAGCUGGUCUGAGAGGACGACCAGCCACACUGGAACUGAGACACGGUCCAGACUCCUACGGGAGGCAGCAGUGGGGAAUUUUGGACAAUGGGGGCAACCCUGAUCCAGCCAUUCCGCGGGAGUGAAGAAGGCCUUCGGGUUGUAAAGCUCUUUCAGCAGGAACGAAACGGUGGCUACUAAUACUAGCGACUAAUGACGGUACCUGAAGAAGAAGCACCGGCUAACUACGU
RNAcentral lists this ribosomal RNA (482 nucleotides) under uncultured bacterium. RNAcentral's name for it is "bacterial SSU rRNA". It matches the Rfam family "Bacterial small subunit ribosomal RNA", at positions 30 to 506 of the family's 1533-position model. The record is from RNAcentral.